RNAcentral lists this ribosomal RNA (393 nucleotides) under uncultured bacterium. RNAcentral's name for it is "partial 16S ribosomal RNA". It matches the Rfam family "Bacterial small subunit ribosomal RNA", at positions 523 to 918 of the family's 1533-position model. The record is from RNAcentral.
AUACGGAGGGUGCAAGCGUUAUCCGGAUUUAUUGGGUUUAAAGGGUGCGUAGGCGGUUUGAUAAGUCAGCGGUAAAAUAUUUCAGCUUAACUGGAAGGGUGCCGUUGAUACUGUCGAGCUUGAAUUUAGUUGCUGUGGGUGGAAUGUGUGGUGUAGCGGUGAAAUGCAUAGAUAUCACACAGAAUAUCGAUUGCGAAGGCAGCUCACAAAGCUAAUAUUGACGCUGAUGCACGAAAGUGUAGGGAUCAAACAGGAUUAGAUACCCUGGUAGUCCACACUGUAAACGAUGAUAACUCGCUGUCGGCGAUACAUAGUCGGUGGCCAAGCGAAAGCGAUAAGUUAUCCACCUGGGGAGUACGACCGCAAGGUUGAAACUCAAAGGAAUUGACGGGG